GGCGUUUUGAGUCGCGUGCCCUGGACCCGAAGCGGGAUGAUCUAGCCCUGGGCAGGUUGAAGCGCGGGUAAGACCGCGUGGAGGACCGAACCCACCUGGGUUGAAAACCGGGGGGAUGACCUGGGGCUAGGGGUGAAAGGCCAAUCAAAUUCCGUGAUAGCUGGUUCUCUCCGAAAUGCAUUUAGGUGCAGCGUCGGUUGAUUGCAUCGCGGGGGUAGAGCUACUGGAUGCUUGCGGGCCCGUAUGGGGUACCAACAGCAGCCAAACUCCGAAUACCGUUGAUGUGUAUUCCGGCAGUGAGUCGGCGGGGGAUAAGCUCCGUCGUCGAGAGGGAGACAGCCCAGAUCGUCGUCUAAGGUCCCGAAGCGUGUGCUAAGUGGGAAAGGAUGUGGAGUCGCAUAGACAGCCAGGAGGUUGGCUCAGAAGCAGCCAUCCUUGAAAGAGUGCGUAACAGCUCACUGGUCUAGUGGUUCCGCGCCGACAAUGUAGCGGGGCUCAAGCACACCACCGAAGACGCGGCAACAGUUUUUUGCUGUUGGGUAGGAGAGCGUCCCCCGAGGGGCGAAGCGGCCGCGCAAGCGCGCCGUGGACUUCGGGGGAGUGAGAAUGCAGACAUGAGUAGCGAGAGACGGGUGAGGAUCCCGUCCGCUGGAUGACCAAGGGUUCCGGGGCCACGUUCGUCGUCCCCGGGUGAGUCGGGUCCUAAGGCGAGGCCGACAGGCGUAGUCGAAUGGAUGAACGGGUGGAUAUUCCCGUACCGGCAGCGAACCGUCCGAACCGAACGGAUGAGUACUAACCUCCGGUCGCGUGGCGUCGUUCCCUUCGGGGUUCGGGGCUCGUGAUUGUUGGGAAUGUAGUCCUGGUAGGUUAGCGCACAGGGGUGACACGGAAUGGGAGCCGGCCGCGGAGGUGGUUUUCCGUGGUCAAGCACGCAGCCCGUCCCAUAGGCAAAUCCGUGGGACAUGCAGGGUGAGGUGCGAUGAUGGGCGCCUUUCAGGCGCGAUAUCCGGUGGUCCAGGCCGUCGAGAAAAGCCUCGGCGCGAGGGGCGUUGCCGCCCGUACCCCAAACCGACACUGGUGGUCAGGUAGAGAAUACCAAGGCGAUCGAGCGAAUCCUGGUCAAGGAACUCGGCAAAUCACUCCCGUGCCUUCGGUAUAAGGGAGACCCCUGAUGGUGAUGGAACUUGCUUCCGGAGCUUUCGGGGGUGGCACAGACCAGGGGGUAGCGACUGUUUACCAAAAACACAGGUGCAUGCGAAGGCGCAAGCCGCUGUAUAUGCACUGACGCCUGCCCGGUGCCGGAAGGUUAAGAGGAUCCGUCAGCCCUCGGGUGAAGCGGUGAAUUCAAGCCCCGGUAAACGGCGGUGGUAACUAUAACCAUCCUAAGGUAGCGAAAUUCCUUGUCGGGUAAGUUCCGACCUGCACGAAUGGCGUAACGACUUCCCCACUGUCUCGACCAGGAGCUCGGCGAAAUUGCAGUACGAGUAAAGAUGCUCGUUAAGCGCAGAAGGACGAAAAGACCCCGGGACCUUUACUAUACCUUGGUAUUGGCGUUAGGCGCGGAUUGUGUAGCAUAGGCGGGAGGCUUCGAAGCGUGGGCGCCAGCCCGUGUGGAGCCGCAAGGUGAAAUACCGCUCUGUUCUCGUUUGACGUCUCACCUCGAACAGUCAUCCUGUUCAGGGACAGUGCCUGGCGGGUAGUUUAACUGGGGCGGUUGCCUCCCAAAGAGUAACGGAGGCGCUCAAAGGUCCGCUCAGCCCGGUUGGCAAUCGGGUUUCGAGUGUAAUCGCACAAGCGGGCUUGACUGCGAGAACGACGGUUCGGGCAGGGACGAAAGUCGGAGAUAGUGAUCCGGUGCCGGCGCACGGGCGCGGCAUCGCUCAACGGAUAAAAGGUACCCCGGGGAUAACAGGCUGAUCAUUCCCAAGAGUCCAUAUCGACGGGAUGGUUUGGCACCUCGAUGUCGGCUCGUCGCAUCCUGGGGCUGGAGCAGGUCCCAAGGGUUCGGCUGUUCGCCGAUUAAAGCGGCACGCGAGCUGGGUUCAGAACGUCGUGAGACAGUUUGGUCUCUAUCCUCUGCGCUCGUUGGAAUCCUGAGGAGGCCUGCCCAUAGUACGAGAGGACCUGGGUGGACGGACCUCUGGUAUGCCGGUUGUCGCGCCAGCGGCAUGGCCGGUUGGCUACGUUCGGGAGGGAUAACCGCUGAAAGCAUCUAAGCGGGAAGCCUGCUCCAAGAUUAGGAUUCCUUGGCACUUCGGUGUCUGUAGCCCGCAUGUUGAACACGUGUUCGAUAGGCCGGAGGUGGAAGUCCCGCGAGGGAUGGAGCCGACCGGUACUAACGG
RNAcentral lists this ribosomal RNA (2342 nucleotides) under human gut metagenome. Its description in RNAcentral is "bacterial LSU rRNA". It matches the Rfam family "Bacterial large subunit ribosomal RNA", at positions 691 to 2907 of the family's 2925-position model. The record is from RNAcentral.